ACGAACGCUGGCGGCAUGCCUAAUACAUGCAAGUCGAACGCUGAAGCACUCUGCUUGCAGAGUGCGGAUGAGUGGCGAACGGGUGAGUAACACGUGGGAAAUCUGCCUAGGAGUGGGGGAUAACAUUCGGAAACGGAUGCUAAUACCGCAUAUCUUUUUGAACCGCAUGGUUCUUAAACGAAAGACGGCUUCGGCUGUCGCUCUUAGAUGAGCCUGCGGCGUAUUAGCUAGUUGGUGAGGUAAUGGCUUACCAAGGCAACGAUGCGUAGCCGACCUGAGAGGAUGAACGGCCACAUUGGGACUGAGACACGGCCCAGACUCCUACGGGAGGCAGCAGUGGGGAAUCUUCCGCAAUGGACGAAAGUCUGACGGAGCAACGCCGCGUGAACGAUGACGGCCUUCGGGUUGUAAAGUUCUGUUAUACGGGACGAAUGGCGUAGCGGUCAAUACCCGUUACGAGUGACGGUACCGUAAGAGAAAGCCACGGCUAACUACGUG
This 498-nucleotide ribosomal RNA is filed under the name uncultured bacterium. RNAcentral describes it as "bacterial SSU rRNA". It matches the Rfam family "Bacterial small subunit ribosomal RNA", at positions 29 to 507 of the family's 1533-position model. The record is from RNAcentral.